Molecule: long non-coding RNA, 704 nt
Organism: Medicago truncatula (barrel medic)
Lineage: Eukaryota; Viridiplantae; Streptophyta; Magnoliopsida; Fabales; Fabaceae
Exons: 4
Source: RefSeq, a predicted model, not a curated record
GAGAGGGGGAUUGAAGUUGCACCUAACAAAAUUAAUUUGCAAUAAAGUUGCUAUGAAUUUGCAACUAACAAAAUGUGCAAUCAUGAAUCAUGUGCUCCACUUGCAGUAGCAGACGAUAACAGUACUACGCUGAUUGCAUUGAAUUAUUAUGUUUUGUGUUCAUAUUCACGUAUCUAAUGAGUCAAGUCAAGUCAAUACCCAAACAAAAAAUACAUUUGCUCCAACAUAGUUCUUCAAUACCUGAAACCCAUCUCUGAGUUUAUUGCUCUUAGCUUAAACAAAAAAUACCUUUGCUCAUUAUCUUCCAUUUUUCAUACUUGAAUUAAUCUCUUACUAUUUCUGUAAUAUUAAUUUUUCUUUCAGUUUUUUGCUAUUUAAUUCCCAUUCCUACUGCAAAAACAAAAAAAAAAAAGCCAAAAACCAAAACUCAAAAAUAGUGAACAAAAGUUAUCUCAUAUAUAUAUUCGCUGCAUUUUUAAUUUCCUAUCAGUCUGUUCAUUUCAAAGAUCGGAGUUUCUUCAACAAGUGAUCAUUUAGUUUUUUUCAUUUCGAAGCCAAUUUGCAUCGGUCUUCACAAUCCAGCAGAUCAUUUAGUUUUUUCAUUUCAAAGCCAAUUUGCAUCGGUCUUCAUAAUCCAGCAGGUAUGAAGAAGACUAAGUGCUACAAGUUCAAGGAAGUGGAUUUGGUUAGUUUGAGAGAGUUGG